UCACUUCCAUUUCUCUCUUUUUUUCUCCUUCCUUUUCCAGUCUCACAUUACUGCAUCGCAUAACCCGCGCAACCCUCCUCUUUCUUUCUCUUUCGGUUGCAGUGUCGUGCAACACCGCACGAUCACCCUUCUCUCUUAGUCGUCGAUGCUACCCGACCUUCUCUCUCCUCUCAUAGUUGCGUUUCUCUCUCCUUGCUCUCACAUCUCUUUCUUUUUCUUUUUUUUUGUUAUUUAAUUACCUAUAUACAUAUAUAUAUAUAUAUUUGCCGCUUAGGUCCCAUUCUCCUGCUCUCUGCGUUCUUUUUUUUCUUUAUUUAUUUAUUUCUUUUUUCUUUCUUUUAUUUUUCUUUAUUUAAUUAUAUACACAUACAUACAUAAAAGAAGACAUGUGGCAUGUGCAUACAUAUAUAUAUGUGCAUACAUACAUAUGUAUAUGUAUGCACAUGCCACGUCUUCUUUUUCUGCUUGCAGAGUAAACACUCUUGGUUCUUCUUUUCUUCUUUUUUUUUCCUUCACUUUUCUAUUAUUUAAAUAUUUAUAUAUAUAUAUACAUGUAUAUAUGUUUGCCAGGAUCUAUUAUUUAAUAUUAUAUAUAUACAUAUAUAUAUGUUUGCCACCUGGAUAUUACAUUAAUCUUUUCUUCAGUUGUAUUAUUUAUUUUAAAUGUCUUAAAAACCUUGUCAUUUACGGUUGCCCCAUAAUUAUAUUUUCGUCAUGAAAGACACACAAAAGGAGUGUUUGUAGGCACUAAAUUUACCCACUGCAUUGAAUUAUGUUAUCAUAGCUUUGGUUAAAUUAAGUUAUGAGUGCAUAUAUGAGAGGACGUGAUAGCACACAAUUUCUAUCAAUCCAUGUAUAAUAUAAACGCACAAAUAUUAUGCAAUAUAUCAUAAAGAGAGAACAGAGUCCAAGAAAUAGCCUUGCUUUCCUAAUUCUCUUACUAAGACAUGACUGCAAUCCAUUGAACUUCACAUUACAAUGUUUCUACUAAAAAAGAAAAACUCAUGUAUUCCCAAAAGCCUUCUUUGUCAGAAAUUUUGAAGACUCAAAAGCUUUCUUUGUCAGAAAUUUUGAAGACUGGCCCCAAAGUAAAUAGUUUAUUUUUAAAUAAACCUUGAAAGACUGAACAAUUAACUAUUGUUUUGCUAAAUUAGACAACUCAUGAGAAAAACGCACUUUUUCAAAAAUUUUAACACCUUAUAUAAGGUAUUAAUCACCUAAUAAUAAUAAAUCAAUCAAGGAAACAAUAUUAAAAAUAAUAAAAUUAUAAGUUCAUACAAUAAAAAAAUAUGGAGAUAUAUCAAAGUUAGAGGAGAAUGUAUAAACUUCUUUUUCUAUACUUGUUAUUUAAAUACUAUAGAGAUACUUUAAAUAUAUAUAAAGCUGAUGACAUUAUUUUAUCAUGUAUUUAUUAAAUUGAUUUAUAUUAAAUUGAAUUUAGUUACAUUUAAUCUAAAUGUAAAAAUAUUUAUGAUAAUCAAUUACUCGUUUUACUUAAAAUUUUCAUUGAACUUGUUUUAUCGCCUUUAUGU
Molecule: long non-coding RNA, 1532 nt
Filed under: Carica papaya (papaya)
Lineage: Eukaryota; Viridiplantae; Streptophyta; Magnoliopsida; Brassicales; Caricaceae
Description: long non-coding RNA (CPAP_LNC006071)
Source: RNAcentral